Molecule: long non-coding RNA, 469 nt
Filed under: Ananas comosus (pineapple)
Lineage: Eukaryota; Viridiplantae; Streptophyta; Magnoliopsida; Poales; Bromeliaceae
Description: long non-coding RNA (ACOM_LNC008335)
Source: RNAcentral
UAGUAGUAACUAGUGGAAUUACCCACGUAUUACGGCGGUCUGAUACUAUAAAAGAUGGAAGAUUGAUAAAAUAAAAAUUUUAAAAUUUUUUGACCUGUAAUGAGACAUUAAUAAAUAUAAAUAGUAUGAGAAAAAAGAGUAUAAAGAAAUUUUAUUUUACUUUUGUUUGGUGAAAGCGAUUAGUUUAGAUUACAAUAAACUAUAUAAACGCAUUAAUUGAAAAGUGGAUGGGUAGAAAGACGAAGCAUCGAGUGGAGAUGGGAGGUUGGAAGACGAAGUAUCAUAAAGUGAGAAGGGGAGAGAAGGCAUGGGUGAAAGAGGAACUGCCAUAUGACAAAUUCUGUAGAAAAUAAUAUAUAGGUAUAGAUAGAUAGAUAAUAGAAAAAAAGUAUGAUAGACUGACAGAGAAAUAUGUACUGUUAAUAAAUGAUUAAAUUGUCGGAUUACAAUAAAAAAAUAAUUGCAAAAG